Molecule: RNA transcript, 7721 nt
Organism: Homarus americanus (American lobster)
Lineage: Eukaryota; Metazoa; Arthropoda; Malacostraca; Decapoda; Nephropidae
Gene: qvr
Exons: 5
Source: RefSeq, a predicted model, not a curated record
UAUCUCUUUUUUUUAGUUAUUCUCAGUAGUUGCUUCUCUUUUUACACUUCUCUUUCUUCUCUUUUAGACGAUCUUCUCGGAGAACCUUUUACUGCACGGCUUAAUGUUCCCAGUGACUCUUGGAGGGUUCUGAUACAUCCUUUAGUACUGUUUCUCCUCUUCUAUCAUCACCUCUUCUUAGCUUUCUCCUCCCCUCGCACCCUCCCCCCUCACCCCCCUUUAGCUUGUGCGAAUCUAUUUUGCUUCAUGUGUCUGGCUUUCACCAUCUGUCGUUCUUUUUCUCGUUUUAAUUAGAAUGUUUUUAAUUCUUGUCUUGGCUUUUAUCCUCCUUGCUGGUUAUGCUUUGAUUGCUCCUGCUCCUGCUCCUGCCUCCCUGCUCCUGCUCCUGCUCCUGCUCCUGCUCAUUCUCCUGCUAGCAUCUACCUAUCGUCCUCUUAUUGUAACCUCCUGCGCUGCGUCGCGUAGUUGUACGUUGCUGCUCUGUUACUGUUGGUAGCGUUCGGCCUCACUAUACUAAAAACCGUGCGCCGUUCCCCCUUCAUUUGUUCCCUGAGAUAUGCACUGUCGCUCACUGCCUGCUAUGGAGAUUAGUUAUCGUGUAUCACUAUAAACUCUCCCUGUUUCUCUCGCACAUCUGUCGAUUAUUUUCCCAUUCUAAAUUAUUGUUUUUCGCAACUUUUCGCUCAUUUUUUGUCUUUUUUCUUUUUAUUGGCCUCUUGCCUAAUUUUUUUGAGAGGCGGUGUUGUACUCCUGUGAGCUUGGAUGUUGAACCCACUGUAGACUGGGCCAAAAUCCCUCCUGUCAUGGAAGUAACGUGUGAUUCUGAAACACUUUUGGAGCGACAAGUUGGUGAGGUUGAACUCCGCAUCUUGUGCUUCUCUUGUUCAUCGUAUUGCUACGUCACUUUCCUCCGUCAAACUUCCACUAAUCGCCUUAAUUAAUUUGGAGACUCGUUUCAUUGGCUACCAGAUUGCUUCUACCUCAUCUUAACUCUUAAAAAAAAUGGAGUAAUUGGCCUUUUUGGAUAGAGGAGUGAAUGCGGGAGUCGAGAGAGUGAGGCGCCUGCUGACUUACCCUACACAGAGGACCAGUCUUCCAUGACGGGCGGGGCUUUUCUCGAGUUGUAGAGGUAAACAUGUGUUAAUUUUAAGUCUUAGAGUCAAUGUGUCACCGUGAACCACCUCGGACGUCUUAAGACUUAAGCAUUGUUUAUCAAGGCUUCUUCACCAUAAGCAGCAGGAGAUUUACCUUUCCAUUUUGAUGCACCUAUCAGAUUUUUGCCAGGGUGCUCUCCCCUAACUCACCCCGGGUCCUGAUGACGAUUGUGAUAAAAUAUGUUGACGACUAGUGCAUAAUUCUUACGUUGUUAUAUUGCAUUAGACAGUAGUACCGCGGGUUAAGGUCGGUAGCUGUUCAAUUUUUUGACCGGCCGAACCCGCUUGUAUUUAUAGAUGGUUAUCACGCCCACUCGUUCCCCUGAAGCAUUAUACUGUAAACUGUUAUUAAUUAUAAAAGUUAAGUACUUUUGUUAUUGAUUAGAUACGGUUUAUAUUUUAUUUUUUGUUAUUAGUCUUUCCAAACCGUAUUCUUACUUGAUGAUGUUGUUGAUCUAUACCGCCCCCAUUACAGUACAUCCUCUGCCUCUUUAACAAAUAUAACACUCCUCCUAAUACUCAUUAAUACAUAUCCUAGCCCGUAGAUAGUAAGGAGCCCAGUUUUACUAUUGGUCAAAAAAAACUAAUAUCACUGACUGACUGUCCAAUCACUUAUCCCCAUUUCCCAUGACGUCAGUGAAAUCUCGUCCAAUCACUUGUCUCAUUUUACCCAUGAGUAUCAGUCAAUUACUCGUCCAGAGACAUGAACCGCUAACUCUGACGCCUGUGGUUUGUUACCCUAUGAGGACACCUUUAUUUCAAGUUUUAUCUUUGCUAACUCGGGAGAACUUUUCAUGGGGCUGCAAACUGAUCCUCUAAACAGGUACUAACAGGACGCACGACGCAGUCCUUUUCUAGUUACACGAGUUUCACUCAUUACAAAAAGGUGUGAAGAAAGAUGCAACGUGUGGCCAGGGGUGGGUACCUUCCACUAUUCACUCAUCGUCUAAUCACAACAGGACAGUAUUUGCAGCGGCUUUAGUACAGCUGGGAGCAAGGUAGGGACUCUCCAGCUGCCCAGUCAUACAGUUAAUAACGAGUCAUUUCACCGAUGACUUGGCUGUAUCUGACCGCCUUAGUACAGUAGAGAGGAGAACUGACCUCACACCAUAAUACCUGAUGCAAUAGCUUUACCAAACUGAACCCGGGGAAGAAGAGGCCUAUGUAUAAACUCUUCUAUACAAGUGAAGAGACAAAGGUUCUUAUAUGGUUGAGAAAUGUUGCAGGUGCUCAGUAAAGCCAGGCUCCAAAAGGUAUGAAAACCCGUGACACAAAUAACUCCCGAUUCAGCCGACAAGUGAGGUGUCGCACCUGACCCCACGUCGACUCACACGUCAAGAUAACCACUCGUGUGGAAGAAAUAGAAUAUCAAGUACAGUUAGCAGCUAUAAUAACUUUAAACGGCAAAACAUUAAACGGUUUUAAAUGUACUUGUAAAUACACUGUCAGGAGCAGCCACACCCCAGCACCAUUUGGGGCCUCGUCUGCCGCGCCACAUCACCUGCAAGACCAUACCACCUGUAGCAGCCACCACGCACCACCUGGGUCUCCACCUACACACUACUACUACUACUCCACGUCCUGCAACAGCUAGUCAGUCACCACUACUACCACCGUCUGUAGUACCAACCAGCUGUCUCUCGCCGCCACAACCUACACAGCUGACCUCACCUGGAUCAUCUCCACUCACCUGUCGUAACAUACGCCAUCUUCUCAAGGCGUAACACAGGUGGUGAGAGGGGGUUAUGUGUGGUUGUGAACGAGACUAGACGUUAAGUGUGUUCUCCUGUCAUCACUGUGCUGGUUAAAUACUACGUGUGAGUGUGUGUGUCUUGUAGUGUCAGUGUGGUGGUAGUGAUGGUGAUGGUGGUGGUGGGGGCCCCCGUCAAGCCAGGAGGAGGAGUCCAAGGCAACAACUGCUACAGUAGAUACCUUGUGAGCUCCAGGGUGGGUCUCACUUCACUCUCCUUGGCCAGUCUUCUUACCGUCACACUCUCUCUCAUUACUCCUCUUCAAAGCUAAGCCAAGUUCUUCUCUCGGUUACUAGUUAGGCAUUUUGGGUUCACGAACUUUCUAUUACGCCAUAUUUAUCGACCAUCGAGAGACAAUGUUAAAAAAGAGACCUGGACUAUUGUUUUCUUGGGCAGUUUGAUGGGUAGCCCAGUGUAUGAUGGGUAGCCCAGUGUAUGAUGGGUAGCCCAGUGUAUGAUGGGUAGCCCAGUAUAUAAUGGGUUAGCCCAAUGUAUAAUGGGUUAGCCCAGUGUAUGAAGUCUUCAAAGUUGAUACAUUUCUGAGGUAAAAUAUGGUAUUUAUUAAUGUUUUUCAAAGUCUACGUCUCUCGGCUUACUAAACUGAGUAUCUAAUGUUGUUAUUGUUUUAAUUUUGUAGUGAAAGUGAAUCUACAGUGAGUGGCUUAAGGUGUACACUACAGUAUAUUCUUGUGUGUCUUAGCAGUGUGUGUACAGUCACUCAAAAAACUAUCUGUACUUGGGGUGAUUGAUGAGUUUCACAAUGAACACUGUGACUCCUGUUGUCUCGGUAGGAUUGUCAAAAUCCUUCGUCCGUUGUGUCAUAUUUUUUCAACACAAUUUUGUAUAGAUAUUUUUUAUUUGAGUGACUUUACAUAGAUUCGUUCUUGAUUUACUGAGGCUAUUACUUUUUAUUUAAUUAUUAUAUAUAAGUUAGUAAUAAAAUGAAAGAGCAUUAGAAUAUAGAAGCAUGAACUAUAAUGUAACCUCCCUUUAACGAACCUAGAUCUAAUGAAUAUAGUCCGUUAUAUAGAGAUGGUUUCUGAUAUACCGGAAUUUCAUUUAUCAGACUAUACUUUCCUGUAUAUUCAGUUAUAUGGAGUUUUUAUAUAUAACGGACCUUGAUUUACUGGACUAUUCCCUCCCUUAUAGUCCGUUAUGUGGAGGUUUCACUGUAUUUGAAUGAAAAUGACUGAUGCAGCUUAGAUGAAGAUAUAUGAAUGAAAUUAAGAUAAAUCAAAGGAAUUUCGAUGUGUGUGUGUGUGUGUGUGUGUGAGUACUUUAGAUCAGAACAGUUUCCAUUCCUUCCCUUAUACAAAGAUGUUAACAAACCUCUCACUUGUUUUGUUUUGAGAGUCUUGCUGUGUUUGCUGAUGAUGUCUCUAAUGUUGCACACCUUCCAUGCAGAGAUAGAACCAUGAAGGGGCGGCAGUAGCGAGUUUCCCUCCCCGUGUAGCAGACCGCAGACAUCAGGAGGACCCGGGGAGUGAGCCAGCCUUACCUUGUUGCCAUUUCUCCCGUGUCGUGGCGGAGGUGUUUGGCAACCAUCACAUCAGCCAGUUAUCACCAGCAGCAGCCAAGGAUCACCAGCAGCAGCCAAGGAUCACCAGCAGCAGCCAAGGAUCACCAGCAGCAGCCAAGGAUCACCAGCAGCAGCCAAGGAUCACCAGCAGCAGCCAAGGAUCACCAGCAGCAGCCAAGGAUCACCAGCAGCAGCCAAGGAUCACCAGCAGCAGCCAAGGAUCACCAGCAGCAGCCAAGAACCGCUCCCAUCAUCACGACGAACCUGAUACUAAGAAGACUGCUGUUGGUGGAGGUGUGUCGUAUAGGAAAUUAUGGGAAUGGGAAGAUUUCCACUCCUCCAGAACGUCAUCCACUCAGCGUUCGUGUGAGAAGGCUUCAUUUUGUACCUUGUAAACAGCACAUGUAAACAAUGUAGACACAAUGUAAGGGGAAACAAAGUUCGUCUUUACCUGCAUCAGGAAAGACAUUAGUUGGUGAACAUUUUGAAUCAAACAAUUUUACCUUAAUGACUUGUAAAUAUUGAAUCACUGCAACUUCGUGAGUGUUGCCAGAGAAUUUGUAUUGAUUGUUUAGCUGAAAAGACAUUAGUGUGAUUUUUGUAGACUGGGUUUGUCGCCCUUGUGUACUCUUACAUAAGGUAAGGAAUGCUUUACCUAUAUAUUGGAGGCGUUAAUCCAUUUGUAUCCACGUUUGUUUCUUGAUUUUGUUGGAUAUAACUGAUACAUUUAACAUUAUAGUCUAAGUCUUGUUUACAGCUGUUAAUGUUAUCAGCUGUUGGAGCUUUAUAAAAAAAACUAUAUCGUGUACAUAUCCAGCAAUUAUAAGUUGAUUUAAAUGAUUUUUAUCUUGUUUUUGUUGACUAUAUCUACAUUCUAUAUAGGUGCUAUAAGUUAUGUAGUAGGGUAUAAUUAAACUCAUCUGGUAUAUUAUUACAUAUAUCCUAAGGUGCAUUUAAAUUGAUAUCAUUUUCUCUACUUCACCGGCAUUUAAUCUCAGCGGAUUGGCUUUAUAUACAUUUUUCAGCAAGUUAGCAGACUGUGAUGGUGUUAUGCCUCUCUGCGCGUGUUUCCCUCCGUCAAGUUAGGAGAACAGUACAGGGUAAAACCACACACACACACACACACACACACACACACACACACACACACACAUACACACUUCCCUGGAGGUAACUCAUCAGAAACUCCAACUGUGUAAGACUGGAGAAUAAUGUAACAUAACAACAACGAAUAGUUAAUCACCUUUGAUGACCUAAAACUCCAUAUUAACACAAGUUUAGAGUUCAUUAUUUUAACGAGAUUUUUCCAGUUUUUCACGCGGGCUUUUGACGGUCAUUAUCAUAAGUGUUUUCUCUGGGUGAUGUCCGAAUGUUCUACGGAAUCUGACAUUGUUGACAUUUCCAGAGUUUGAUUGAGAUGUUACAAUAGUGCAUGACAAGUGAUUGCGUGUAUGUAUGCCUAAAUACCAUUGCAAUUGAGUAUAACCAUAUAUUCCAGUUUUCCCUCCAUUUCAUGAUAUAAUAAUUCUAAAAAAAAAAAAUGAUUGAAGUCUGUUUUGUUUAUGUCUCUGCCUUAGACGUGUUGGUUAAAUUGCUAUUCGCCAUUUGUGUUACAUAUUGUAGACCCCCAAAGAAGAUUGUUUCCUGUAAUCUAAAUUAGUUUUAGCUAAGUGUCAUUGUUGAUUACCAAGUAGUUGUUCUUGGUUUACUAGUCAGUGGAUAGGUGUUUAACCGACCAGUCUUCCAAAGGGCAUGAAUAUGAUUUUUUUUUUUUUAGACUUGAUCGACUGUGACAAGAUGAUCCACUUUAUAUAGACGACGAUCCAUAAUCGCAUAUUUCACCAGUUUAAUUGAAGAUUAACGUGAGGUGAUGAUGUUAGCGGUGGUGUUGUCACAGUGGACGCUGGUCUAAAGCAACACGGUGUAACCCGCCCGUUUUAGAAGGUGUGGAUACGACCUACAGUACAGUAGACUUUAUAAUAUAGAAGUGUACAUAAUAUAACGCGAGAGUGGGGCGUCUUGUGUCCUGGAGCAAUAUUUAAUGAUAUAUAUAUGAACGUUAUUAAUCCAACUAGACAAUUUUUUAUGCCUUAUAUUGAAAUUAUAUAUAGCAAAGGACACGACAGUUAUGUUCCAUUAAUAUGACGUCACACUUCUUGCUGAUCAACGAAGCAUUUUCUAAGUUAGGAGACUUGCCAUGCGCCAUGCUGUACCGUAUGUUGCAUGACAAUUACAUUACAUUACGUAUUUAGGUUGUUAUUUACCCCCAUAUCUUUUAUUUUCACCAUAGUAACUGUAUCUAGGGAAUGUUUCUUGUUUAUUUUCACCGGCAUUGCUAAGCUGUGAACGUGAUCAUGAAUAACUAUGAUCUUGAAUCUGCUCGACAAAAUUAAAAUCAAACGUUCGAAAUUAUGAACCUUGGAAAAUUUUUCUCUCCGGAAUAACUUACAGGAAUUAAUACUCGAGAUAAACAAAUAAUGUUAAUAGAUAACAAACGUCUUGGGAUCAAAAUUUCGAACUAAGUUUCUCAUUUGACCAAUAUUCAUGACUUCUGACCACUGACCCCUGAACAAGCUGCCCACCGUUAUAUAUAACUAUUAAUUGAAGACUUUGAGAUAUAUAAUGUAACUAGAAGUGAAAUUGAAGAAUAUUUAAAAACAAGCACAGUAAUUGUUACGGCAGGCGUUUGGGGCCAUUGAAGUGUGGUAAAAUUAGUUCAAUAAAACAAGUGAAACAACGGCCGUCCCCCUGUCGACUAAGACACACACACACACACACACACACACACACAUCCUGAUAAUCUAUGGAUAAUAAUAGAAACAAGGAUUAACAAAAUUAAUUACAUCUAUAAUAAUUUAAUCGACUAAAAUGGUAAAUUAAUUAUGAUACAUUGAUAUACAUGGAUAUACAUAAACAUGAAUCCAGUCAAAUAAAGGAUUUAAAGUUAAUAAAUCGCUUUUUUCAGGAUAAUAGAGUUUUUGCUAAUACAACAUUUAUACAGAAAAGAACAAUGUUACUACAAUACCCACAAUACAAUCACACCUUUAAACUUACUGUAAAGUCAAGAUAAAUUCCCUUUGUUGUUAUUGACAGUACACAGUGACAAGGUGGAGUGUGUGUGUGUGGAGGCAGGGGGGCAGGGUGGAGUAUGAGCGACCAGUGGAGGCAGGGGGGCGGGGUGGAGUAUGAGCGACCAGUCCACCUGAAGUUUACUGUAACAAGCAGCGCAUUUCCCAACCUGAUGUAUUGUCAUUGUUAUUUCUGCUUUGUAAUUUUAAUAAAUUUUUAUACACUGAA